Molecule: long non-coding RNA, 333 nt
Filed under: Mytilus galloprovincialis (Mediterranean mussel)
Lineage: Eukaryota; Metazoa; Mollusca; Bivalvia; Mytilida; Mytilidae
Source: RNAcentral
GUUUUAGUUCUCACAGGUGGUGUUGUUAAAAUCAUGGCAUUUUCAGAUCUGAGUGUUUGCAUUGGUUAAUAUAUAUUAACGAGUUCUUGUAGGUAGACAGGUACAUCCUCAUGCAAAUCCUUGAACACAUAGACGAGGAGUUUAUAUUGGCAUCGGUAUGUUACGGGGAGCCAAUGUAGAGACUUGAGACUGAAGACAAUGUGGAGACUUAUGAUUAAUGUAAGGUUUUGAACACACCAUGAUAUAUGUCAAUGUCCUAGUACAUGCAAUUAAAGUCUUGAAAUACUAAGUUCAAGUGUUAACAUUUAUGCUCGGGGUACAACAUUAGAAUUU